CCGUAAUCUGCAUAACAAUGUAAUUAUAAUCUGCCUGAGUCUCUCCUCUGCAGUUCCUUGAGUUUCUUGCAGCAGCACCAAAUCUGCCUGCAACUCCUUUGGCAAAGGACUGGCUAGCUAAUCAGGACGAGUUGCUUUUUCAAAAGCGAAUCCAGUGUUUCAUGUCACCACGAUACGAGCCAGCUGAAAUGGACAAAUUCAAAGGUCUGGACCCAGGAACUGAUGACAUGGUGCCAUUGGAGCAGAAGUUAAAAAACCUCCACAUGACCUUUUAUGAGGAAUACAGGAUAUGUCUCCCUCUUGGCAGCCAUCUCUGGCAAGUAGAAGCAAGAGGAGGUCACACCAGGAGUACAACAUGAUGGAAUUUGACCUUCAGGUGCUUUGGGAUGAACAAUGCAGCAUUUUUGGGCUGGCAUUGAUUGACUCUGACAAGGAACUCUUAUGGUGGUGAGCACUGAUAAGGAGGUAAACACAGCAGGAGAAGACAGAGAAGAGAAAGAUUAAGUCUGACACCCCUCCACACAAUCCUUGCAAUUUUUCAUUAAAUGUAAUCGCGGUGUCUUUUCUGCAGCACACAAACACAAAUUAUUAAUGAGCCAAAGUGUUGUGAGAAAAAUGAACUAAAAAUGUAGCAAAAGACAAUUUCAGAGACAAAGCAAUAUACGGAUGAAGGAAUUUUACCAUCCAGGCACAGUGACUGAAUGGCAAAUAGAUGGCUCCAGGAAUCAGAAACAGAGAAAGUGCUGGGAUAGUGACGCUCAUAGGUUGCCAACAGAAUAUGCAGAAAACUGCCAGUCAGUCUCAUGUCUGCAUGUCUCCUUUACCCUAAGGAAAGGUAUUAUUUAUGAAUGUCAGAGUUGUUUAUGCACUGCAAAAUAACACCCAGAAUGGGUCAAAUGGAAACCUGUGGCAGAGACUGAGAUGGGAACCAUCUCAAUCUGUUUAAACUUCUGCCAAAGUCUGAGCUGGCAAGUAAUGUGAAGUGAGACGAACACUGUAAGCGAAUCCUAUUGAGAUACUUCAACAUGGUGUUCUACUGCUCUGGCUAUAUUAGAUUUUUUUGACUCCAGGUUGGUUGCUAUGGAGCUGUGUUUCUUACAUAAACGCCAAUAAAAUUGUAAUACCGUAUUGAUUUCUGGAAGACCAUUCUAUCCUGGUUUACUCAUCUUUUCAAAGGGGCCAGGCCAGGGUCAGUAGCAGAUUCAUCUACACUUCCAUCUCAAAUGAUCCAUGUCUGCAGAAGUUCUUGUCAGAAAAUUUAUGGUAAUGAGAUGCUGCUGAGCCGAAGGCACUAUACUUACAGGCUGUGAAUUUGAAAUGGGAUUUUUGCAAUUGCCCCUGGAAAUGGCAGCUCUGGUUGUUUUAUUUUCCAAGAUACAUAAUGCUCUUACAACAAAAAACACGAGAAGAUUGUAUUAACUUGCAUUUACAUAUUCAUAAUAACUUUAAUUGUAUUUUAUUUGCAUGUUUUGGCAUUUGCCAGUUGGUCUUAAAAUCCUUGACUUUUUUCAGCAGGUUUCAAUUAAUGCAUUUGGACUCUAUCUCUGUCUACUUCCUGUUUUUGUUGUUUUACUCAGUGUUUCUACAUAUUAUAUUGAUUGUGUAAGAUAUAAAAUAAGUGGUAUGCCAGUCUGUGAAAAAAGUGAAUGGAAACUGCUUCAUGACAUUAAUGAUUGUCUAUCUCAGAAUUAUUAAAUUGUUGUGUCCUUACUUGUCAAGUUGAAAUAUGAAAUAUGUUAACACAACCUAGAAAUGUAGGCUUUUACUAAAAUAAGAGGUUCAAAUGG
Molecule: long non-coding RNA, 1787 nt
Organism: Oreochromis niloticus (Nile tilapia)
Lineage: Eukaryota; Metazoa; Chordata; Actinopteri; Cichliformes; Cichlidae
Exons: 5
Source: RefSeq, a predicted model, not a curated record